This 224-nucleotide ribosomal RNA is filed under the name uncultured bacterium. RNAcentral describes it as "partial 16S ribosomal RNA". It matches the Rfam family "Bacterial small subunit ribosomal RNA", at positions 99 to 334 of the family's 1533-position model. The record is from RNAcentral.
CGGACGGGUGAGUAACACGUGGGUCAUCUACCCCAAGGUGAGGAAUACCGGCGAGAAAUCGCCGACAAUACCGCAUAUCUUUCGCAAGAAAGAAAGCUCGUAAGGGCGCCUGGGGAUGAGCCUGCGCUUGAUUAGUUGGUUGGUGGGGUAAUGGCCUACCAAGACUGCGAUCAAUAGCUGGUCUGAGAGGACGAUCAGCCACACUGGGAUUGAGAACGGCCCAG